This 242-nucleotide ribosomal RNA is filed under the name uncultured bacterium. RNAcentral's name for it is "partial 16S ribosomal RNA". It matches the Rfam family "Bacterial small subunit ribosomal RNA", at positions 92 to 334 of the family's 1533-position model. The record is from RNAcentral.
CGACCGGCAAACGGGUGCGGAACACGUACACAACUUUCCUUUAACUGAGAAAUAACCCUGGGAAACUAGGACUAAUAUCUCAUAGUAUAACUGGAUGGCAUCAUCUGGUUAUUAAAGCUCCGGCGGUUAAAGAUGGGUGUGCGUAUGAUUAGGUAGUUGGCGGGGUAACGGCCCACCAAGCCUACGAUCAUUAGCUGAUGUGAGAGCAUGAUCAGCCACACGGGCACUGAGACACGGGCCCG